CCCUUAGAUGUUCUGGGCCGCACGCGUGCUACACUGAGUGGAUCAGCGGGUCAGGUUGCGCGAAAGCGUUUCCUAAUCUUUAAAUCCGCUCGUGAUGGGGAUUGACGGUUGCAAUUUUCUGUCAUGAACGAGGAAUACCUUGUAAGCGCGGGUCAUCAUCCCGCGCUGAAUACGUCCCUGCCCUUUGUACACACCGCCCGUCGCUCCUACCGAUUGGAUGGUCCGGUGAACUGGUCGGACUGAUAAUUGUCACUGCGGGUGCAGUAGCAUUACGGAAAGUCCGGUGAACCUUAUCAUCUAGAGGAAGGAGAAGUCGUAACA
RNAcentral lists this ribosomal RNA (321 nucleotides) under uncultured eukaryote. Its description in RNAcentral is "partial 18S ribosomal RNA". It matches the Rfam family "Eukaryotic small subunit ribosomal RNA", at positions 1470 to 1796 of the family's 1831-position model. The record is from RNAcentral.